GAUGAACGCUGGCGGCGUGCCUAAUACAUGCGAGUCGAGCGAACAGACGAGGAGCUUGCUCCUCUGACGUUAGCGGCGGACGGGUGAGUAACACGUGGAUAACCUACCUAUAAGACUGGGAUAACUUCGGGAAACCGGAGCUAAUACCGGAUAAUAUAUUGAACCGCAUGGUUCAAUAGUGAAAGACGGUUUUGCUGUCACUUAUAGAUGGAUCCGCGCCGCAUUAGCUAGUUGGUAAGGUAACGGCUUACCAAGGCAACGAUGCGUAGCCGACCUGAGAGGGUGAUCGGCCACACUGGAACUGAGACACGGUCCAGACUCCUACGGGAGGCAGCAGUAGGGAAUCUUCCGCAAUGGGCGAAAGCCUGACGGAGCAACGCCGCGUGAGUGAUGAAGGUUUUCGGAUCGUAAAACUCUGUUAUUAGGGAAGAACAAAUGUGUAAGUAACUAUGCACGUCUUGACGGUACCUAAUCAGAAAGCCACGGCUAACUACGUG
This 497-nucleotide ribosomal RNA is filed under the name uncultured bacterium. RNAcentral's name for it is "partial 16S ribosomal RNA". It matches the Rfam family "Bacterial small subunit ribosomal RNA", at positions 28 to 507 of the family's 1533-position model. The record is from RNAcentral.